Molecule: long non-coding RNA, 805 nt
Organism: Daphnia magna
Lineage: Eukaryota; Metazoa; Arthropoda; Branchiopoda; Diplostraca; Daphniidae
Exons: 3
Source: RefSeq, a predicted model, not a curated record
CCCGAGCAUAAUCAGUCAACACAAACUUGCUACCGAUUUCCUCAAUGCGUGCCUCGAUGGCAUCUAUUAAUGGUAAAAAGACCUAGGGGAACAACCAAUGGCAACUCUCAAUAUCAAUAUCCACGUUUACCUCGAGUUUUUAGGCCUCUUUUUCGUAAUGCUGAAGCCACUGACCUGAGGCUGCUCAUCAGUUGACUGUAGCUCAUCGAUUUACCUGUUGAAACAUCUGUCUGAAAGUUAGCAAAAUAACGUUAAUUUGCAUUUCCAUGCCCAAUGGAAGAUGCGGGUGCUGGAGGUUGGGGUCGCUAGGUGUUCCCUCACCGACGAGUUCCCUGUUGAUAAUUGUCAUUUUCAAUAAAGUAACAACAAAACGACUGACUACAAAAGAUGUUGUCUAGGAACUGCAACAGUUUUCCCAAAAGUAGCAAGAAAAAAGACGCACGUUCUACGUUUCCUUUCUUAUAGAGCUGGGACCAUCAGUGCCUGAUAAAGACUUUCGAAACGUGUCAGUCCUAGAAAAACAAAUAAUCUAAGCAAUUCGUUGGCCUUUCCUUCCCUGAAGAACAACGUUAGAAAACAUCUUUUAAGCACGUGGUGCUAUCUAAUCAAACAAAAUUCAUCAUCCAAAUUAAACCCCGAAAUGUCUGCCGUAUGGCAUGUGCUAGAUUCCGUGUUUUGAACCUAGAUGGCGAAGUAUGACGCUUUUCGGAAGAUGUAAGCGAAAAGGAGAAUGAAAGAAUAGACUCAAAAAUAAUGAAUUGAUUACUACAAUCAGUGCCGUUAAGGCGAAACAAUCGUCAUCUCU